UUAUUGUGCCGGAUGGCGGUUGCACCUUAUCCGGCCUACUUGAUGCUGUAGGCCCGGUAAGCGAAGCGCCACCGGGCAAAACAACGCACUAUCCCAACAAUUCCUGCUUAACAUCCAUCGCUAAAUCAAACGAAUGCAGGCGUGCUUGGUGGUCGAAAAUCUGCCCGUUGACCAUAAUUUCAUCCGCCUGGGUCUCCCGCAGGAUGGAUUCCAGCCCGUGGCGGACUUUCGCUUUAUCACCGACCAGCGACAUACUCAGCGCCUGCUGCACGCCAUACUGCUCGGAUGGCGACCAGAAGGUCUCCAUA
This 308-nucleotide unclassified non-coding RNA is filed under the name uncultured fungus. RNAcentral describes it as "partial internal transcribed spacer 1". The record is from RNAcentral. Lineage: Eukaryota; Fungi.